RNAcentral lists this ribosomal RNA (500 nucleotides) under uncultured bacterium. Its description in RNAcentral is "partial 16S ribosomal RNA". It matches the Rfam family "Bacterial small subunit ribosomal RNA", at positions 30 to 523 of the family's 1533-position model. The record is from RNAcentral.
AUUGAACGCUGGCGGAAUGCUUUACACAUGCAAGUCGAACGGCAGCACGGACUUCGGUCUGGUGGCGAGUGGCGAACGGGUGAGUAAUGUAUCGGAACGUAUCCAAUAAUGGGGGAUAACGAGUCGAAAGAUUCGCUAAUACCGCAUACGCCCUACGGGGGAAAGCUGGGGACCUUCGGGCCUGGCGUUAAUGGAGCGGCCGAUAUCUGAUUAGCUAGUUGGUGAGGUAAAGGCUCACCAAGGCGACGAUCAGUAGCUGGUCUGAGAGGACGACCAGCCACACUGGAACUGAGACACGGUCCAGACUCCUACGGGAGGCAGCAGUGGGGAAUUUUGGACAAUGGGCGCAAGCCUGAUCCAGCCAUUCCGCGUGAGUGAAGAAGGCCUUCGGGUUGUAAAGCUCUUUCGCAAGGGAAGAAAACUUAGCCACUAACAUUGGUUGAGGUUGACGGUACCUUGAUAAGAAGCACCGGCUAACUACGUGCCAGCAGCCGCCGUAA